RNAcentral lists this ribosomal RNA (465 nucleotides) under uncultured bacterium. RNAcentral's name for it is "partial 16S ribosomal RNA". It matches the Rfam family "Bacterial small subunit ribosomal RNA", at positions 28 to 507 of the family's 1533-position model. The record is from RNAcentral.
GACGAACGCUGGCGGCGUGCUUAACACAUGCAAGUCGAACGAAAAGGCCCCUUUGGGGGUACUCGAGUGGCGAACGGGUGAGUAACACGUGAGUAACCUGCCCUUGACUUCGGGAUAACUUCAGGAAACUGGGGCUAAUACCGGAUAGGAAUCCUUGCUGCAUGGUGGGGGUUGGAAAGCUUCGGCGGUUUUGGAUGGACUCGCGGCUUAUCAGCUUGUUGGUGGGGUAGUGGCUUACCAAGGCUUUGACGGGUAGCCGGCCUGAGAGGGCGACCGGCCACAUUGGGACUGAGAUACGGCCCAGACUCCUACGGGAGGCAGCAGUGGGGAAUAUUGCACAAUGGGCGGAAGCCUGAUGCAGCAACGCCGCGUGCGGGAUGACGGCCUUCGGGUUGUAAACCGCUUUCAGCAGGGGCGAAGCUUGUGGUGACGGUACCUGCAGAAGAAGCACCGGCUAACUACGUG